ACGUAGGUGGCGAGCGUUGUCCGGAAUUACUGGGUGUAAAGGGCGAGUAGGCGGAUUUGCAAGUCAGAUGUGAAAAACCACGGCUCAACCGUGGCCCUGCAUUUGAAACUGCGGAUCUUGAGUGAUGGAGAGGCAGGCGGAAUUCCUAGUGUAGCGGUGAAAUGCGUAGAUAUUAGGAGGAACACCAGUGGCGAAGGCGGCCUGCUGGACAUUAACUGACGCUGAGGCGCGAAAGCGUGGGGAGCAAACAG
RNAcentral lists this ribosomal RNA (251 nucleotides) under uncultured prokaryote. Its description in RNAcentral is "partial 16S rRNA". It matches the Rfam family "Bacterial small subunit ribosomal RNA", at positions 525 to 775 of the family's 1533-position model. The record is from RNAcentral.